Corvus hawaiiensis (hawaiian crow) is the source of this 489-nucleotide long non-coding RNA. RefSeq lists it as uncharacterized. The transcript is spliced from 3 exons. The record is from RefSeq and is a predicted model, not a curated record. Lineage: Eukaryota; Metazoa; Chordata; Aves; Passeriformes; Corvidae.
CCUCCUCCUCCUCUCCCCAUUUGUCCGCCGCACAAAGGCGUUCGCACCUACAAAGCCGGAGAUGCACCUGCAAACAAGGCAGUCCCCCUCGCCUGCAACUCCCCCCGGGGCGGCACUUUAUUUGCAAAGCUGCGUAAUUGGUUUAAGCUUGUGGGGAAAGAAGGAGAGACAGAGAAACCAUGUGAGUCACCGUGCUGAGGCAUAAUACUACAGGUUCCCAAUAAAUACGGACAGAGGCCUGAAUGCGGAUCCACUGAUAUUAACCUCCACUUGGCAAACAUCAGAAUUAAGUCAAAUCCUCGAAACAAACAAAACUCUGGAAUCAGCAGAGGAGAACAACAUAUGAAAAUAUGUCUUGAAGGAAAUAAAAUACUUAAAAGCGCUGGAUUAAACUCCUUCUUUCUCAAAUGGUCAAACUACACCCAGAGAAAUUGGAAUAUCUAAGUGGAUAUCUAAUAUCUAAGAAAUAUUAAAAUUGCGGUCUCCAUG